UUCCUGUUUCCCGUUUUCUUUAUUCAUUCAUUUUCUAUUCCUCGCUUUUCUUUAUUUUUUUUUUUAUUUAAUCUUCGUUCUUUUUUUUCAGUUUUUCGUCACAAGCUCCGUGUCUGUGUUGGUCGCCGCCUGCUCCCUUUUUGCCGUGGUCAUCAUCAUCAUCACCACCACCACCAUCACCAUCUUCCUGUGUCUACUUUUUUUACGAUGAUACGAUUCCUCAUUUCCCUUCCGGUCCCUGCGCUGGCUUCCCUUGCACCUGAGACAGCCCUGCAGGAAAAGAACCCCGUGGUGAGCUAAGGAAAAGUUAGCGUGAGAUGCACAAAGUCAUCGAAAUAUAAGCGACAGGAACGCCAGUCUGAGCAGAGUAUAAACAUGGUAAAGUCUGUGUGAGUUUGAGUCAGCCGAAGCUCCACCAAAGCGUCUUUCUAACCAACCUAGCUCACUGUAGCUCUUUAAACUGUAAACAACACUUUGUAACGGCAAGAAUACAAAAUAAAGGGUCAUUGUGAACCUUGAACUAGAAGUGCCUGACUGGAUUGGCUGUUAUGAAGUACAUGGCUAAUAGAACGGGACACCCUUUACAUCAGUGUUCUUGUGAAGAUAGUGUCCUCAAAUAAUGUUAUCAUGCAAGAAGCAAGAUCAUGUGAACACUGCAAGAUUGGGUCUUCAGACACAGUUAUGUUGGCACCAGUUGGACCUGUAUACUAUGCCUGCCCAGGAUACCCCAGCAGGUCCCCACCUCACACUGAAGAGUGGCUUACCUAAGGAACUGUACAGUCUGGAUUCAACAGCUUCCCAAGUUUCCCUGCUACAAUUGUACCAGCAUCCUGUCUGCUCAGCUCACUACUAGUGAAAAGGAUCGACAAAAGUGGUACCCCAAUGGCCAAAAGAACUGUACUAAGUCCAAAAUACUCCGAAGAAAUAUUACAUUAUGGAAAUUGUUUAAAGGUUUUUGUUUAUUAUUAGCAUGAUCUAGUUGUGUCAGUCUUAACAGUCCAGAUUGUACAGACAUGAACCAUUGUUCACUGCACUUCCUGCAGAUGUAACUUCAGUCAUUACUGCAAGGUGUGUGUUGUGUAAUUAGGUUUAUAUACAUUUUUGAGUGAGAAUAUUUAGACUAAUUAAAUAGUAAGUUUCUCAACUUUCUAGAUCUUUGCUGUUACUGUUGUGUGUGAGAUUUCAGGGGCUGUAUUCUACAAACCGUCAUAGGUAAUGAAGUGAUCGUAGCAAGGCAAAAUGGUGCAUUUUAUACACAAGUCCCUCUAUAACAGGCUCUCACCUUGUGACUCGUCAUAAGUGCUAAGACAGGGUUCACCCUGUUGUAGUGCCGCCAACCGCCGUCUUAAAACUUUUGUCAACAUGGUGGGAAGUUGGCUGUGUGUACUAUAACAUGAUCCUCGACAGUUUUUAUUAUUAAUUAAUGAUAAAUAUCCAUAAUGAUGACUAAAUAAUACCCUUUAAUUUACCAUUAUAGAUAACUGCCGAGAAGGGUACGAUCAGUUUUCCCAAAACUCAAACAAACCUUGCCCUGCGUGGCCUGCAUGUGUCAUGUGUCAAUGUAUCGGGCGUUCGGGCCUAUCUUCUCCAGUUUGUCAUGUUUCUUUUGUUCGAUACACAGUCUAACUAUUCCCAAAGUAGUAAUAUGAUGUCUAAAUAAUAUAAAUUGUAGAAAAUUAUAUCAAGGAACUAUUUUUUUUUUUUUUCUAUACAUGCAUAAAGUUGACAAGUAAUGAGCCUAAAGACCAACAGUGGAGUAACAGUCAGGCAUUCAGUGAGACCUGAGGCUGACUGUGUAGAACGCGGCCCCAGAAUGGUGAUCUGUGUUUUGUAUAUUUAUGGUGACAAUAUAGUGUUGCAAGGGAGAACAUGCUGUUUGAGAGCAAUGCCAUUGUGAAAUGCUUAAAAAUCAUUUUAGAAAGUUCCUCCUCAACUUUUGCAAUGAAAAUGGUCUAGGAAUACUUUUAGAACUUGUAAUUACUAACAAGAUUUGUGCAAUGAAAAUGCUCUCAAAAUACUACUCAUGUUCUUAUAUUCAUUUUUUUUUUCUGUUAUGUUAGACAAAUGUAUGGAUGGCAAUGAUGGAGUGAGGUAGACAUGUUCACACAGGAACUGCUGCCAUGUAUGUGCAGGCUCUUGGUGCCUCUUCCAGCUUUCCUCAUUUUUGUUUCUAUAAUACUUUAAAAUAAUUUUGUAAUUUGAGAAUAUUGCCAGAGUAAUGUAAUGCUUGAAAAAAGUUGUCCCAAGUUAAAAAUUGCAUAAAUUGUUCGAAGUUGAAAAUGUACAAGAUGUCCAAAAUUGUACAAGUUCUGGUAUUCCACUGUAAAAAAUAGAAUUUAAGUCGAAAAUUUAAGAUUGUCAAACUGUAAACAUUUUCAAGGUGUAAAAUUUUAGUAGUUUUUGGAAAAAUUUUCUAAGAAUUUGGUUGAAAAAAUUGUCAAAUUGUAAACAUUUUCAAAGUGUAAAAUUUUUUGGAAAAAUUUUGUCAAGAAAUUGGUUGGAAAAAUUUUAGUAGUUUUUGGAAAAAUUUUCUAAGUCAAGAAAUUGGUUGGAAAGGAAAAAUUUUCUAAGUCAAGAUGGUUGGAAAGGAAAAAUUUUCUAAGUCAAGAAAUUGGUUGGAAAAUUUUCUAAGUUGAAAAUUUUGGUAGAGUUUUCUGAAAUUUAAGGUGAAAUUUAUAAAAGUUUUCUAUCAAAAAUGGUAAAUUCUACUAUUGCACUGUAAAAAUUUUCUAAGUUGAAAAUUUUGGUAGAGUUUUCUGAGAUUUAUGUAAAAAUGUGUUGAUUGAAUAAAAGUGAAGGAAGGGAGACU
This is a long non-coding RNA of Portunus trituberculatus (swimming crab), 2809 nucleotides long. RefSeq lists it as uncharacterized. The transcript is spliced from 5 exons. The record is from RefSeq and is a predicted model, not a curated record. NCBI's taxonomy places the organism in Eukaryota, Metazoa, Arthropoda, Malacostraca, Decapoda, Portunidae.